Cephalotus follicularis is the source of this 128-nucleotide non-coding RNA. The record is from Rfam. NCBI's taxonomy places the organism in Eukaryota, Viridiplantae, Streptophyta, Magnoliopsida, Oxalidales, Cephalotaceae.
AGGAGCAACCAUAUCAGUACUAAUGCACGGGAUUCCAUCAGAACUUCGCAAUUAAGCAUGCUUGGGCGAUAAUAGUUCUAAGAUGGGCUUGUCUUAUGACUUUCAUGGAAACAGGAUAGUGGCUUGAC